RNAcentral lists this ribosomal RNA (408 nucleotides) under uncultured bacterium. RNAcentral describes it as "partial 16S ribosomal RNA". It matches the Rfam family "Bacterial small subunit ribosomal RNA", at positions 28 to 526 of the family's 1533-position model. The record is from RNAcentral.
GACGAACGCUGGCGGCGUGCUUAACACAUGCAAGUCGAACGAAGUGGCGAACGGGGGAGUAAUACGGGGUUAACCUGCCGCCCUUUUUGGGAUAAGCCUUGGAAACGGGGUCUACUACCGCAUCAAGGGGGAGUGGCUUGCGGCCUAUCUGCGUGUGGGUGGGGUGAUGGCCUACGAAGGCGGUGACGUGUAGCCGGCCUGAGAGGGUGACCGGCCACAGUGGGACUGAGGUACGGCCCAGACUCCUACGGGAGGCAGCAGUGGGGGAUGUUGCGCAAUGGGCGAAAGCCUGAUGCAGCGACGCCGCGUGGGGGAUGGAGGCUUUCGGGUUGUAGACCUCUUACGCUAACGAACGGGUAGGUGGAGAAGAAGCGCCGGCUAACUACGUGCCAGCAGCCGCGGUAAUUC